UCUGAUCAUAUUUGUUUUACCAUAAGAUAUCAUUCUUGAAGUGUACUUAUUAAUUACACGCAUCAUGUGAUUAGCUAAUAUGAUCAUAAAAUACGCGUAUCGUGACGGUUGAGUUGCAGGAUUUUAGUGUUUUGUCUGUACAUUUGGCGGGGAAUGUGGAAGCAGAUGUUACUAAUUAAUUUAACCAUUGUGAUGUUUGGUCGGCUUGCUGGUAUGCUGAGGUAUCUAAGAUGAUAGCUGCUUUUUUUCUUUUUCUUUUUCUUUUUUCCACUUAUUGCUCAGGAUUAAAUUAUUUAUGGUUUCCAGGAAUAUGACUCUGUAUCUUUCAUUCUGACUUUUUCAAUUGCUCUAUCUACCCCAACUCAACAAAACAUUAAACACAAUAAUCUGUUUUCUUACGUUAAUUUAAACUAUGCAUUACAUCAGGCUUGGAGAACAGCUGAGAAUUAAAGUAAUGUAAGAAUGUGACAAAAUAACAGGACAAAAUUGUGUUUUGAUAUUUUCUUCCACACCUCAAGAACAACGCCGGCCGCCGUCCUAAUUGUGUAUUUUCGAAGAGGCUGGAUAGGAUGGUUGAAUUCUCGAAGAAAACAAAACCAUCUCCACCUUAGCCUGCCGAAUAAGAAAAGAUUUUAGAAACAAGGGUCAGAGUGGUCAUGUAUCCCACAAAUCAAAUACUUUUCUUUUGGCUGUUUCAAAAUUCUUUCAAAUGGUAAUAUAUAUAUUUUAUACUAAAUUUGGCUUUUCCACCUUCAAACUAAUUUUUUCUUACCUGCAACUUAUUGUCUUAUUUUUCUGCAAAU
Molecule: long non-coding RNA, 803 nt
Filed under: Prunus persica (peach)
Lineage: Eukaryota; Viridiplantae; Streptophyta; Magnoliopsida; Rosales; Rosaceae
Description: long non-coding RNA (PPER_LNC006540)
Source: RNAcentral